GAUGAACGCUGGCGGCGUGCCUAAUACAUGCAAGUCGAGCGAACAGAUGAGGAGCUUGCUCCUCUGACGUUAGCGGCGGACGGGUGAGUAACACGUGGAUAACCUACCUAUAAGACUGGGAUAACUUCGGGAAACCAGAGCUAAUACCAGAUCAUAUAUUGAACCGCAUGGUGCAAUAGUGAAAGACGGUUUUGCUGUCUCUUAUAGAUGGAUCCGCGCCGCAUUAGCGAGUUGGUAAGGUAACGGCUUACCAAGGCAACGAUGCGUAGCCGACCUGAGAGGGUGAUCGGCCACACUGGAACUGAGACACGGUCCAGACUCCUACGGGAGGCAGCAGUAGGGAAUCUUCCGCAAUGGGCGAAAGCCUGACGCAGCAACGCCGCGUGAGUGAUGAAGGUCUUCGGAUCGUAAAACUCUGUUAUUAGGGAAGAAAAAAUGUGUAAGUAACUAUGCACGUCUUGACGGUACCUAAUCAGAAAGCCACGGCUAACUACGUG
Molecule: ribosomal RNA, 497 nt
Filed under: uncultured bacterium
Lineage: Bacteria
Description: partial 16S ribosomal RNA
Rfam family: Bacterial small subunit ribosomal RNA
Source: RNAcentral